Non-coding RNA from Pelobates cultripes (western spadefoot toad), 206 nucleotides. Lineage: Eukaryota; Metazoa; Chordata; Amphibia; Anura; Pelobatidae. The record is from the annotation of a GenBank genome assembly.
CCCGCCUCGAACAGUACACAAUAUCCAUAGCCAAUAUACACUUCCCGGACCCGCCAUAUUAGUUGUCUCCCUCUGCCUGCCGCCCAGGACAACCCGACAUACUCAACGUAAGCGUAAGUAAAGUUAGAGGGUAAUACCGUAAACAAAAUCUGCAGCCAAUAUACAUUACACCAACUGCCAUAACAUUCGACUAACUCAGCAUGAUG